GCGAGUGAAGAGGGAAGAGCUCAAAUUUGAAAUCUGGCGGUCUCAGGCCGUCCGAGUUGUAAUCUAGAGAGGUGUUUUCCGUGCCGGACCGUGUACAAGUCCCUUGGAACAGGGCGUCAUAGAGGGUGAGAAUCCCGUCCAUGACACGGACUCCCGGUGCUCUGUGAUACACCUUCGAAGAGUCGAGUUGUUUGGGAAUGCAGCUCAAAACGGGUGGUAAAUUCCAUCUAAAGCUAAAUACAGGCGAGAGACCGAUAGCGAACAAGUACCGUGAGGGAAAGAUGAAAAGAACUUUGGAAAGAGAGUUAAACAGUACGUGAAAUUGUUGAAAGGGAAACGCUUGAAGUCAGUCGCGUCUGCCAGGACUCAGCCUUGCUUCUGCUUGGUGCACUUCCUGGUGGAUGGGCCAGCAUCGAUUUUGGCCGCCGGAAAAGGGCGGGAGGAAUGUGGCAGCUUGCUGUGUUAUAGCCUCCNGUCGUACACGGUGGUUGGGAUCGAGGAAUGCAGCACGCCUUUUGGUCGGGGUUCGCCCACGCCACGUGCUUAGGAUGCUGGCGUAAUGGCUUUAAACGACCCGUCUUGAAACACGGACCAAGGAGUCUAACAUGCCUGCGAGUGUUUGGGUGUCAAACCCAGGCGCGUAAUGAAAGUGAAAAGUUGGGACUCUUUAGUGAGGCACCGACGCCCGAUCCUGACGUUUUCUGACGGAUUUGAGGCAGAGCAUGUAUGUUGGGACCCGAAAGAUGGUGAACUAUGCCUGAAUAGGGUGAAGCCAGAGGAAACUCUGG
RNAcentral lists this ribosomal RNA (788 nucleotides) under Exidia candida. RNAcentral's name for it is "eukaryotic LSU rRNA". It matches the Rfam family "Eukaryotic large subunit ribosomal RNA", at positions 89 to 867 of the family's 3401-position model. The record is from RNAcentral. Lineage: Eukaryota; Fungi; Basidiomycota; Agaricomycetes; Auriculariales; Exidiaceae.